RNAcentral lists this ribosomal RNA (410 nucleotides) under uncultured bacterium. RNAcentral's name for it is "bacterial SSU rRNA". It matches the Rfam family "Bacterial small subunit ribosomal RNA", at positions 29 to 429 of the family's 1533-position model. The record is from RNAcentral.
AACGAACGCUGGCGGCGCGCCUAAUACAUGCAAGUCGAGCGAGAAGACGUAGCAAUACGUUUGUAAAGCGGCGAACGGGUGAGGAAUACAUGGGUAACCUACCCUCGAGUGGGGAAUAACUAGCCGAAAGGUUAGCUAAUACCGCGUACGCUCCUUGGACUUCGGUUCAGGGAGGAAAGCGAUACCGUGGGUAUCGCGCUCUUGGAUGGGCCCAUGUCCUAUCAGCUUGUUGGUGAGGUAACGGCUCACCAAGGCUUCGACGGGUAGCUGGUCUGAGAGGACGAUCAGCCACACUGGCACUGCGACACGGGCCAGACUCCUACGGGAGGCAGCAGUAAGGAAUAUUGCGCAAUGGGCGAAAGCCUGACGCAGCGACGCCGCGUGGGGGAUGAAGGUCUUCGGAUUGUAAA